GUAGGUGGCAAGCGUUGUCCGGAAUUAUUGGGCGUAAAGCGCGCGCAGGCGGUUCGUUUAAGUCUGAUGUGAAAGCCCACGGGCUCAACCGUGGAGGGCCAUUGGAAACUGGAGAACUUGAGUACAGAAGAGGAAAGCGGAAUUCCACGUGUAGCGGUGAAAUGCGUAGAGAUGUGGAGGAACACCAGUGGCGAAGGCGGCUUUCUGGUCUGUAACUGACGCUGAGGCGCGAAAGCGUGGGGAGCAAACAGGAUUAGAUACCCUGGUAGUCCACGCCGUAAACGAUGAGUGCUAAGUGUUAGGGGGUUUCCGCCCCUUAGUGCUGCAGCUAACGCAUUAAGCACUCCGCCUGGGGAGUACGGCCGCAAAGGCUG
Molecule: ribosomal RNA, 374 nt
Filed under: uncultured organism
Description: partial 16S ribosomal RNA
Rfam family: Bacterial small subunit ribosomal RNA
Source: RNAcentral